Molecule: ribosomal RNA, 207 nt
Filed under: uncultured bacterium
Lineage: Bacteria
Description: partial 16S ribosomal RNA
Rfam family: Bacterial small subunit ribosomal RNA
Source: RNAcentral
CUCGUAGGUGGUUUGUCGCGUUGUUCGUGAAAACUCACAGCUUAACUGUGGGCGUGCGGGCGAUACGGGCAGACUAGAGUACUGCAGGGGAGACUGGAAUUCCUGGUGUAGCGGUGGAAUGCGCAGAUAUCAGGAGGAACACCGGUGGCGAAGGCGGGUCUCUGGGCAGUAACUGACGCUGAGGAGCGAAAGCGUGGGUAGCGAACA